CGGAGGUAGAGCACUGAAUGUCCUAGGGGGUAUUGCACCUACCGAAGACUAUCAAACUCCGAAUGCCGUCAUCUUAUACUUGGGAGUCAGACUGUGGGGGAUAAGAUUCAUAGUCGAAAGGGCAACAGCCCAGAUCGUCAGCUAAGGGCCCUAAAUGUAAGUUAAGUGGUAAAGGAUGUGGGAUUGCACAGACAACCAGGAUGUUGGCUUAGAAGC
RNAcentral lists this ribosomal RNA (216 nucleotides) under Clostridioides difficile. RNAcentral describes it as "partial 23S ribosomal RNA". It matches the Rfam family "Bacterial large subunit ribosomal RNA", at positions 897 to 1113 of the family's 2925-position model. Lineage: Bacteria; Bacillati; Bacillota; Clostridia; Peptostreptococcales; Peptostreptococcaceae. The record is from RNAcentral.